AGCAGCAGCAGCAGCAAGCAGCGACUGUCUCCUCUGACUGUCAGCUGACACAACUCGCUGAGGGCUUUACUCAACUUGGAAAGAACUUGUCUCCAUGCAGUCAGAGGUCAUAACUAAAGGAUCAGUCUGGUUCCAGGACCCCUCAGCACCCCUCAUGACCCCUCGGUGUGGGGCUUGAACUCACUGCCCGCGGUGCUGCACUGCUGUCUAAAAAAAGCUUCACUUUCAUGCGAUGUCCUGAGGGAAAUGACGGCGCCGAGACGGAGGCAUGCAGCCUCUGGAAUCGGGUGUGAAAUUAACGGGACACACGUUAUUCCAGGGUGCUGCUUAACCAGUGUGAAAAACAGAUUGUGACAGCGAUAAUAAAGGAGACCUCUCACUAAAAGUCCAUGUUCUCCUGGAUCCAUGU
Molecule: long non-coding RNA, 409 nt
Organism: Labrus bergylta (ballan wrasse)
Lineage: Eukaryota; Metazoa; Chordata; Actinopteri; Labriformes; Labridae
Source: RefSeq, a predicted model, not a curated record